RNAcentral lists this ribosomal RNA (712 nucleotides) under uncultured archaeon. RNAcentral describes it as "bacterial SSU rRNA". It matches the Rfam family "Archaeal small subunit ribosomal RNA", at positions 131 to 662 of the family's 1478-position model. The record is from RNAcentral.
CCUUGACCACAUAAACACAAAUUCUCAAAAAAUCCAAAAACCCCAUAACAUAAACAAACACUUCACUACACCGCCUUGCCGAUUUCUAAGCUGGCAAAGGCUAUCUCAAACUAACCAAAACCCACACACACAACCUUCUAAGAAUAAAAACUUAAGGCUCUGGCGUAGCCCAAAACUGGGGUUAAUUCCCGAUGGGUGAGGAGGCCUGGAAUGGUUCCUCACUGAAAGGGCGCUAGAGGCAUGCUCUCUAACGUUGCCCAAGGAUGGGGCCGCGGCCGAUCAGGUUGUUGGUGAGGUAACGGCUUACCAAGCCUAUAACCGGUACGGGCCGUGAGAGCGGAAGCCCGGAGAUGGGCACUGAGAUAAGGGCCCAGGCCCUACGGGGCGCAGCAGUUGCGAAAACUCCGCAAUGCACGAAAGUGUGACGGGGCUACCCCGAGUGCCGUCCGCUGAGGAUGGCUUUUCUCCGCUGUAAGGAGGCGGAGGAAUAAGGAGAGGGCAAGACUGGUGUCAGCCGCCGCGGUAAUACCAGCUCUCCGAGUGGUAGGGGUGAUUAUUGGGCUUAAAGCGUCCGUAGCCGGCCUGGCAAGUCUCCCGUUAAUCCAGCAACCUAAUUGUUGGGCUGCGGGGGAUACUGUUAGGCUAGGGGGCGGGAGAGGCCGACGGUAUUCUCGGGGUAGGGGUGAAAUCUUAUAAUCCCGGGAGGACACCA